CAGUCGCCGCGGGAAUACAGAGGGUGCAAGCGUUAAUCGGAAUUACUGGGCGUAAAGCGCGCGUAGGUGGUUUGUUAAGUUGGAUGUGAAAUCCCCGGGCUCAACCUGGGAACUGCAUCCAAAACUGGCAAGCUAGAGUACGGUAGAGGGUGGUGGAAUUUCCUGUGUAGCGGUGAAAUGCGUAGAUAUAGGAAGGAACACCAGUGGCGAAGGCGACCACCUGGACUGAUACUGACACUGAGGUGCGAAAGCGUGGGGAGCAAACAGGAUUAGAUACCCCAGUAGUCCCUGUCUCUUAUAC
This 301-nucleotide ribosomal RNA is filed under the name uncultured bacterium. RNAcentral describes it as "partial 16S ribosomal RNA". It matches the Rfam family "Bacterial small subunit ribosomal RNA", at positions 509 to 807 of the family's 1533-position model. The record is from RNAcentral.